This 497-nucleotide ribosomal RNA is filed under the name uncultured bacterium. Its description in RNAcentral is "partial 16S ribosomal RNA". It matches the Rfam family "Bacterial small subunit ribosomal RNA", at positions 28 to 507 of the family's 1533-position model. The record is from RNAcentral.
GAUGAACGCUGGCGGCGUGCCUAAUACAUGCAAGUCGAGCGAACAGAUGAGGAGCUUGCUCCUCUGACGUUAGCGGCGGACGGGUGAGUAACACGUGGAUAACCUACCUAUAAGACUGGGAUAACUUCGGGAAACCGGAGCUAAUACCGGAUAAUAUAUUGAACCGCAUGGUUCAAUAGUGAAAGAUGGCUUUGCUGUCACUUAUAGAUGGAUCCGCGCCGCAUUAGCUAGUUGGUAAGGUAACGGCUUACCAAGGCAACGAUGCGUAGCCGACCUGAGAGGGUGAUCGGCCACACUGGAACUGAGACACGGUCCAGACUCCUACGGGAGGCAGCAGUAGGGAAUCUUCCGCAAUGGGCGAAAGCCUGACGGAGCAACGCCGCGUGAGUGAUGAAGGUCUUCGGAUCGUAAAACUCUGUUAUUAGGGAAGAACAAAUGUGUAAGUAACUAUGCACGUCUUGACGGUACCUAAUCAGAAAGCCACGGCUAACUACGUG